CCGAGGGGCAGCUAGGGAGCGCGGCUUGAGGAGGGCGGGGCCGUUCCGCAGGCCCGCCAGUGUCCUCAGCUGCCUCCGCGCGCCAAAGUCAAACCCCGACACCCGCCGGCGGGCCGGUGAGCUCACUAGCUGACCCGGCAGGUCAGGAUCUGGCUUAGCGGCGCCGCGAGCUCCAGUGCGCGCACCUGUGGCCGCCUCCCAGCCCUCUCUGCCGGACGAGCUCUGGGCCGCCACAAGACUAAGGAAUGGCCACCCCGCCCAAGAGAAGCUGCCCGUCUCUCUCAGCCAGCUCUGAGGGGACCCGCAUCAAGAAAAUCUCCAUCGAAGGGAACAUCGCUGCCGGGAAGUCAACAUUUGUGAAUAUCCUUAAACAAUUGUGUGAAGAUUGGGAAGUGGUUCCUGAACCUGUUGCCAGAUGGUGCAAUGUUCAAAGUACUCAAGAUGAAUUUGAGGAACUUACAAUGUCUCAGAAAAAUGGUGGGAAUGUUCUUCAGAUGAUGUAUGAGAAACCUGAACGAUGGUCUUUUACCUUCCAAACAUAUGCCUGUCUCAGUCGAAUAAGAGCUCAGCUUGCCUCUCUGAAUGGCAAGCUCAAAGAUGCAGAGAAACCUGUAUUAUUUUUUGAACGAUCUGUGUAUAGUGACAGGUAUAUUUUUGCAUCUAAUUUGUAUGAAUCUGAAUGCAUGAAUGAGAUAGAGUGGACAAUUUAUCAAGACUGGCAUGACUGGAUGAAUAACCAAUUUGGCCAAAGCCUUGAAUUGGAUGGAAUCAUUUAUCUUCGAG
Molecule: long non-coding RNA, 783 nt
Filed under: Pan troglodytes (chimpanzee)
Lineage: Eukaryota; Metazoa; Chordata; Mammalia; Primates; Hominidae
Description: long non-coding RNA NONPTRT013062
Source: RNAcentral